Molecule: ribosomal RNA, 484 nt
Filed under: uncultured bacterium
Lineage: Bacteria
Description: partial 16S ribosomal RNA
Rfam family: Bacterial small subunit ribosomal RNA
Source: RNAcentral
AUUGAACGCUGGCGGCAGGCCUAACACAUGCAAGUCGAGCGGAUGAAGGGAGCUUGCUCCUGGAUUCAGCGGCGGACGGGUGAGUAAUGCCUAGGAAUCUGCCUGGUAGUGGGGGAUAACGUCCGGAAACGGGCGCUAAUACCGCAUACGUCCUGAGGGAGAAAGUGGGGGAUCUUCGGACCUCACGCUAUCAGAUGAGCCUAGGUCGGAUUAGCUAGUUGGUGGGGUAAAGGCCUACCAAGGCGACGAUCCGUAACUGGUCUGAGAGGAUGAUCAGUCACACUGGAACGGAGACACGGUCCAGGCUCCUACGGGAGGCAGCAGUGGGGAAUAUUGGACAAUGGGCGAAAGCCUGAUCCAGCCAUGCCGCGUGUGUGAAGAAGGUCUUCGGAUUGUAAAGCACUUUAAGUUGGGGGGAAGGGCAGUAAGUUAAUACCUUGCUGGUUUGACGUUACCAACAGAAUAAGCACCGGCUAACUUCGUG